ACCUGGUUGAUCCUGCCAGUAGUCAUAUGCUUGUCUCAAAGAUUAAGCCAUGCAUGUCUAAGUAUAAGCAAUCUAUACGGUGAAACUGCGAAUGGCUCAUUAAAUCAGUUAUCGUUUAUUUGAUAGUACCUUGCUACUUGGAUACCUGUGGUAAUUCUAGAGCUAAUACAUGCUAAAACCCCCGACUUCGGGAGGGGGGUAUUUAUUAGAUAAAAAACCAAUGCCCCCCGGGGCUCCCUGGUGAUUCAUAAUAACUCAACGAAUCGCAUGGCCUUGCGCCGGCGAUGGUUCAUUCAAAUUUCUGCCCUAUCAACUUUCGAUUGUAAUGUAGUGGAUUACAAUGGUGUCUACGGGUAACGGGGGAUUAGGGUUCGAUUCCGGAGAGGGAGCCUGAGAAACGGCUACCACAUCCAAGGAAGGCAGCAGGCGCGCAAAUUACCCAAUCCCGACACGGGGAGGUAGUGACAAUAAAUACUGAUGCAGAGCUCUUUUGGGUUUUGCAAUUGGAAUGAGUACAAUUUAAAUCCCCUAACGAGGAACAAUUGGAGGGCAAGUCUGGUGCCAGCAGCCGCGGUAAUUCCAGCUCCAAUAGCGUAUAUUAAAGUUGUUGCAGUUAAAAAGCUCGUAGUUGAAACUUGGGCCUGGCUGGCCGGUCCGCCUCACCGCGUGCACUGGUCCGGCCGGGCCUUUCCUUCUGGGGAGCCGCAUGCCCUUCACUGGGCGUGCCGGGGAACCAGGACUUUUACUUUGAAAAAAUUAGAGUGUUCAAAGCAGGCCUAUGCUCGAAUACAUUAGCAUGGAAUAAUAGAAUAGGACGUGUGG
Molecule: ribosomal RNA, 822 nt
Filed under: Xanthoria sp.
Lineage: Eukaryota; Fungi; Ascomycota; Lecanoromycetes; Teloschistales; Teloschistaceae
Description: SSU rRNA
Rfam family: Eukaryotic small subunit ribosomal RNA
Source: RNAcentral